Molecule: ribosomal RNA, 305 nt
Filed under: uncultured bacterium
Lineage: Bacteria
Description: partial 16S ribosomal RNA
Rfam family: Bacterial small subunit ribosomal RNA
Source: RNAcentral
ACAGCAGCAGCCGCGGGAAUACAGAGGGUGCGAGCGUUAAUCGGAUUUACUGGGCGUAAAGCGUGCGUAGGCGGCUUCUUAAGUCGGAUGUGAAAUCCCUGAGCUUAACUUAGGAAUUGCAUUCGAUACUGGGAAGCUAGAGUAUGGGAGAGGAUGGUAGAAUUCCAGGUGUAGCGGUGAAAAGCGUAGAGAUCUGGAGGAAUACCGAUGGCGAAGGCAGCCAUCUGGCCUAAUACUGACGCUGAGGUACGAAAGCAUGGGGAGCAAACAGGAUUAGAUACCCCGGUAGUCCCUGUCUCUUAUAC